This 89-nucleotide transfer RNA is filed under the name Bdellovibrio svalbardensis. RNAcentral's name for it is "tRNA-Leu". It matches the Rfam family "tRNA". Rfam says of the family: Transfer RNA (tRNA) molecules are approximately 80 nucleotides in length. Their secondary structure includes four short double-helical elements and three loops (D, anti-codon, and T loops). Further hydrogen bonds mediate the characteristic L-shaped molecular structure. tRNAs have two regions of fundamental functional importance: the anti-codon, which is responsible for specific mRNA codon recognition, and the 3' end, to which the tRNAs corresponding amino acid is attached (by aminoacyl-tRNA synthetases). tRNAs cope with the degeneracy of the genetic code in two manners: having more than one tRNA (with a specific anti-codon) for a particular amino acid; and 'wobble' base-pairing, i.e. permitting non-standard base-pairing at the 3rd anti-codon position. The record is from RNAcentral. Lineage: Bacteria; Pseudomonadati; Bdellovibrionota; Bdellovibrionia; Bdellovibrionales; Pseudobdellovibrionaceae.
GCCCCGGUGGCGAAAUAGGUAGACGCACAGGACUUAAAAUCCUGAGAUUCGCAAGGGUCGUGCCGGUUCAAGUCCGGCCCGGGGCACCA